Molecule: long non-coding RNA, 1062 nt
Filed under: Nicotiana benthamiana
Lineage: Eukaryota; Viridiplantae; Streptophyta; Magnoliopsida; Solanales; Solanaceae
Description: long non-coding RNA (NBEN_LNC042221)
Source: RNAcentral
AAAGAUUUUUUUUAUUUUUUCUUUUAGGUAAUGUAACAAAUCCCCCUUGGUUUUUCUUUAGGCCGUGGUUAUAUUCCAAGGGUUUAGCUUGAACCAGGCAUAGGCAGUUUUUUAUUUUUUUGUAGAUUAGGAUAGUGGGCUGUGAGCUAUGAAUUGAAAGAGAACCCUGAGCGUUGAUACACCUGAACACCAUAAAUCCUAGAGUGUAACGCUUAGCUCUCAUUGUUGAAUCUCAUUAGAGCGUUGAUACACUUGAACACCAUAAAUCCUAGAGUGUAAUGCUUAGAUCUCAUUGUUAAAUCUCACUAAAAGCGCCUUAAUUUGUAUGUUUCUCACUGACUUGAGUGCUUGAAAUGUCUAUAGCAAGUCUUGGUUAAUUUUGAUCCAAGCUAACCUACCCGUCCUUUAGCCCACAUUACAACCAUAACAAGUCCUGAUUGAUUUUGAGCCGAGCUAACCUACAUUAGUAGAGAUUUGCAUUAAAAGCAAGCCUAUGGUACUCGUUGCAUGCAUGUGACUUUAUUUGUGAGAGUGAGCGCUUCUAUUGAUGUAUGUGAGUGUUGGUUCGAUUGUGUGCAAAAAUUCAGUUGUGUGAUAUAAUUGUGAGGGCAUAUGAUUCGUGAUGAAAAAGAAAGUCUUAACUUCUGUGUAGAGUGCUUUGAGGAAGUGUAAACAUUACGUGGCUCGUGAGAGUUAGCUAUGAGGCUAGGAAUGUUCACGGCUAGGCGCAACGUAUGUUUAUUGUCCUAGGUGGAAUGUGCUAAAGGGAAUGGUUGAGUGGCGUGUUGUCUAGAGAGAAUAGUGUGAUUGCUUGAGGGCUAGCAAUGAUUAAGUGUGAGGUGUUGAUAAUAUGCGAAAUCUAGGUGAUUUAGCCAUUAUUUAUGCCUCCGCUUGAUUAUAUUCCGAUCGUAUACUAUGAUUAAUUGAUGAAAGAUGGGAUCUAAUAAUGAAUCAUACUCAUUGCAGGCUAAGGAGCCUAAUUUGUGCAAGAUAACAUUGAUUGGAAUCAUUCGGGAGCAAUUGAGACCCCUCGGGACUAAAUGGGAUCGAAGAGAACUCAAG